This 217-nucleotide long non-coding RNA is filed under the name Elaeis guineensis (African oil palm). RNAcentral's name for it is "long non-coding RNA (EGUI_LNC074809)". The record is from RNAcentral. Lineage: Eukaryota; Viridiplantae; Streptophyta; Magnoliopsida; Arecales; Arecaceae.
CAUGACCCCACCUCUUAUCUGACUAGUUGAAAGAAGUAAGAAUAGAUCUAACUUACAUUUAGGCCGAGCCACUCUAUAUCAAACUGUUAGAUCUAAGAAACCCAUAGGUGUCUAGGUUUAAUUGUUUGCUAACUUAUUUAUGAGUGAAAUAAAAGAAAAUAUAAAAAAAUCUGAACUACAUGCAUUAGGAUUUGCACUGGUACAUACAUGGUAAGGA